RNAcentral lists this transfer RNA (75 nucleotides) under Clostridioides difficile. Its description in RNAcentral is "tRNA-Met". It matches the Rfam family "tRNA". From Rfam's summary of the family: Transfer RNA (tRNA) molecules are approximately 80 nucleotides in length. Their secondary structure includes four short double-helical elements and three loops (D, anti-codon, and T loops). Further hydrogen bonds mediate the characteristic L-shaped molecular structure. tRNAs have two regions of fundamental functional importance: the anti-codon, which is responsible for specific mRNA codon recognition, and the 3' end, to which the tRNAs corresponding amino acid is attached (by aminoacyl-tRNA synthetases). tRNAs cope with the degeneracy of the genetic code in two manners: having more than one tRNA (with a specific anti-codon) for a particular amino acid; and 'wobble' base-pairing, i.e. permitting non-standard base-pairing at the 3rd anti-codon position. Lineage: Bacteria; Bacillati; Bacillota; Clostridia; Peptostreptococcales; Peptostreptococcaceae. The record is from RNAcentral.
CGCGGGGUGGAGCAGUUGGCGCUCGUCGGGCUCAUAACCCGAAGGUCGUAGGUUCAAGUCCUGCCUCCGCAACCA